UUGGGAAUGAAGAGCAACUGGGUCAUAUUCGUGUCUUCAUUUCUGGCUUCAUGAUAUUUUUCAAGGUCAUGCCUUCAACAAUAAAGCUGUUCUUGCCUGGGAAGAGGAGCAGGGAACACACAUACUGCGUACCAAGAUUCUGUGAGUGAUGAACUUCUGCAGGCAACACGUUAUCACUGGCUAAAAACAUCUGCGUAAGUAUACAAGAACCCAAAGCAGACUAGGCUGGAAAGCCAGUGGGAUUCUUGUUGCUCCCCAGUUAGAACCAGAGGC
Molecule: long non-coding RNA, 273 nt
Filed under: Mustela putorius furo (domestic ferret)
Lineage: Eukaryota; Metazoa; Chordata; Mammalia; Carnivora; Mustelidae
Description: lncRNA (ENSMPUG00000028000.1)
Source: RNAcentral